UAACACAUGCAAGUCGAACGGAGUUAUAUUGUAGCUUGCUAUGGUAUAACUUAGUGGCAGACGGGUGAGUAAUGUAUAGGAAUCUACCUAGUAGUACGGAAUAAUUGUUGGAAACGGCAACUAAUACCGUAUACGCCCUACGGGGGAAAAAUUUAUUGCUAUUAGAUGAGCCUAUAAUAGAUUAGUUAGUUGGUGAGGUAAAGGCUUACCAAGACAAUGAUCUAUAGCUGAUCUGAGAGGAUGAUCAGCCACACUGGAACUGAGAUACGGUCCAGACUCCUACGGGAGGCAGCAGUGGGGAAUAUUGGACAAUGGGCGAAAGCCUGAUCCAGCCAUGCCGCAUGAGUGAAGAAGGCCUUCGGGUUGUAAAGCUCUUUUAGUGAGGAAGAUAAUGACGGUACUCUCAGAAGAAGUCCUGGCUAACUCCGUGCCAGCAGCCGCGGUAAUACGGAGAGGGCUAGCGUUAUUCGGAAUCAUUGGGCGUAAAGGGCGCGUAGGCGGGUUAGUAAGUUAAAAGUGAAAUCCCAAGGCUCAACCUUGGAACUGCUUUUAAAACUGCUAGUCUAGAGAUUGAAAGAGGAUAGAGGAAUUCCUAGUGUAGAGGUGAAAUUCGUAAAUAUUAGGAGGAAUACCAGUGGCGAAGGCGUCUAUCUGGUUCAAAUCUGACGCUGAGGCGCGAAGGCGUGGGGAGCAAACAGGAUUAGAUACCCUGGUAGUCCACGCUGUAAACGAUGAAUGUUAAAUAUGGGAAGUUUACUUUCUGUAUUAUAGCUAACGCGUUAAACAUUCCGCCUGGGGACUACGGUCGCAAGAUUAAAACUCAAAGGAAUUGACGGGGACCCGCACAAGCGGUGGAGCAUGUGGUUUAAUUCGAUGCAACGCGAAAAACCUUACCACUUCUUGACAUGGAAAUUAUACCUAUUCGAAGGGAUAGG
This 935-nucleotide ribosomal RNA is filed under the name uncultured bacterium. Its description in RNAcentral is "bacterial SSU rRNA". It matches the Rfam family "Bacterial small subunit ribosomal RNA", at positions 49 to 1013 of the family's 1533-position model. The record is from RNAcentral.